CGGCAACAGCUCAAAUUUGAAAUCUGGCUCCUUCGGGGCCCGAGUUGUAAUUUGCAGAGGAUGUGUCGGGUACGGGUUCCCUCCGAGUUCCCUGGAACGGGACGCCAUAGAGGGUGAGAGCCCCGUCUGGUAGGAUACCCAGCCCGUGUGACACUCCCUCGAC
This 163-nucleotide ribosomal RNA is filed under the name Plectosphaerella populi. RNAcentral's name for it is "partial large subunit ribosomal RNA". It matches the Rfam family "Eukaryotic large subunit ribosomal RNA", at positions 99 to 261 of the family's 3401-position model. Lineage: Eukaryota; Fungi; Ascomycota; Sordariomycetes; Glomerellales; Plectosphaerellaceae. The record is from RNAcentral.